GUUAGGGCGAAGCUACCAUGAAGCUAAGAGCUAGCAGAACGAAGAAACUGACUAUGUUGGUCAUCUAGGCAUAUGACUUCAACACUCAUAAAAAAGUGCUCACAUGUACUCCAUCCGUCCCAUAAUAUAAGAGAUUUUGGUGGGAUGUGACACAUUUUAGUACUACGAAUCUGGACAGAGAGCUUGUUCAGAUUCUUAAUACUAGGAUAUGUCCACAAAAAUCCCUUAUAUUAUAGGACAGAGUGAGUAAUUAUGUAAAUUAUUAUCCUUUCCCCUCCCACCCGAAACCCUCACUGCCUCUUCCCCUUGCCAUGCCACCUGAGCUACUGACAUCCCGUAGCUGCUAGGACAGCGGAGGCGAGGCUUGUGCAUCAGUACCAGGUGAAGGAGUGGUGCGGCGACGUAGGCAGGUGGCAACACUGGUUUCGGCUGGUGGGCGGCGCAUUGGUGGAGGCGCAAAGAAUGUGCUUUUAGGACAUGUAUAGCUCCAGCAUUUGCUUUCUGCAAUGAUUGGCACUUUUUCUUCAAUGGCUAUCUAUUAGUCUUCAUUUAUCAAUGUUUUCCAAGUUCUGCAACAAGGAAAAUAAAGAAUUUUAUGUUU
RNAcentral lists this small RNA (601 nucleotides) under Oryza sativa Japonica Group (Japanese rice). Its description in RNAcentral is "sRNA Os06g0265950". The record is from RNAcentral. Lineage: Eukaryota; Viridiplantae; Streptophyta; Magnoliopsida; Poales; Poaceae.